RNAcentral lists this ribosomal RNA (377 nucleotides) under uncultured eukaryote. RNAcentral describes it as "partial 18S ribosomal RNA". It matches the Rfam family "Eukaryotic small subunit ribosomal RNA", at positions 592 to 976 of the family's 1831-position model. The record is from RNAcentral.
CAAUAGCGUAUAUUAAAGUUGUUGCAGUUAAAAAGCUCGUAGUUGGAUUUCGGGGUGGCCUGCCUGGUCCACCGCAAGGUGAGUACUGGUCAGCCGCCCUUCCUCUCGAAAGCCCCGACUGCUCUUCAUUGCAGUGGUCGGGUAGUUCGGGACGUUUACUUUGAAAAAAUUAGAGUGUUCAAGGCAGGCUAUCGCCUGAAUACAUUAGCAUGGAAUAAUGGAAGAGGACCUCGGUCCUAUUUUGUUGGUUUCUAGGGCCGAAGUAAUGAUUAAGAGGGACAGUUGGGGGCAUUCGUAUUUAAUUGUCAGAGGUGAAAUUCUUGGAUUUACGGAAGACGAACAACUGCGAAAGCAUUUGCCAAGGAUGUUUUCAUUAA